Molecule: long non-coding RNA, 1753 nt
Filed under: Equus caballus (horse)
Lineage: Eukaryota; Metazoa; Chordata; Mammalia; Perissodactyla; Equidae
Description: lncRNA (ENSECAG00000047936.1)
Source: RNAcentral
UUUAUAUGCAAAUUGUUAUGGCAAAUCUCCCAUCAACUUAAUUGUCAGGAAAUGAGGUUCAUCAAAAUGAACCUCAGCUGUUUCUAGCUGUCUCCGUAGUCCUGCUUCUCACCUGUUCAGGCACAGACUCCUCAGUUUCUUCUGCUCAGUCUCUUCGUUUGAUCCUCAGGCUGCUUCUGCCUUCCUGACAAGACAGCUUCUCCGCCUGGUGCUCCUGCAUUGCCCACCUCUGUGGCUCCCCACCUGCCCCCUCCUUACCGCACGCUCACUCUCUUCUCCAGGCUCCGGGGAGGAGGAACUCCUCUCACUUGUAUCAUUCCUUCCUAAAAUGCAUGCACCAGGCCUUCCUUAGUGAUCCACAACACCCCUGAGCCCAUAAUAAUUCUUGCUUAGGCUUUACGGAUGCAUCAUGGAUAAAAGAAGAGGGCUUUCAGUCGGAGAAUUCCUAACACCCACUGUCCGACUUAUGCUCACACCUGUGCACUUAAAGGCGCAUUCUUUGCCUUACUUUCAGCUGGUCUCCUCUGGCCAGGAGCAGCUCACACCCCACCAUUUGAACCACUCUAGGAUUCUCAGUCCUCUUCACGCAGCAAAUGCCUCUUCCCAGAAGGAGACGUUUCCCCUCUACCCAACUUUCACACCAGCCACCCUCCUCACACCGUCUCUCUGCUUUAACCUCUUUUAGGAUGAUUGAUGGUAGGAAAACUCCUCCUGACUGGGGGAAAAUACACCCCAGUCCUCAAGGAUGUGGUCUGGUUCUGUGCUCUUGUUAAGAGCCCUGUUGGCUACUGGUCGACUGAACACGUUCUCCUUCCGGCCCGUGCUGCGAGCACUGUAAUGCGGCUUCCCUCCUGGGACAAGAUAGUCUUCUGUUCUUGGCGUCAAGCACGGGCCAGCUCAAAGCUUGGUGAAAGGAGGGUUUGUCUGGGAAGCGAAGUCCAUAAGGUGAAUCCAGUCUACCUGGAGGAGGAUCGAAGCUUGAGAAGACUACAAGACAGUUGGUGUCUUCAGAAUUUAAGCUCAUUGAGCAAUAUAAAAUUGUGAACUUUUAAAUUACAUCUUCCUUACAUAGUUUGAGAUCUGAAAUUUCUAAAACUGCGUUAAAAUAGUCUGGGCUUUUGGAUGGUGUACAGUAAAAGAGACUGCAAGCAGAGAAGAAGGCCUAUGAAUCCUAAGAUUUUAUCUUUGAAGGAGAAAUAUUUAUGAAUCUUAAGAUUUUAUCUUUGAAGGAGAAAUAUUCCCUAUUAUCUUAAUCGAACCAAGUGGUGUGCUGGAAUGCCCUCCCUAAAGGUCCACUGUUAAGAGUUCACUGUUAGGAGAAUAUCACCAGAAUUAAGGCGUAAAUUAUAGGCUUUCAAUCUGAGGCAGAACUACACUGCAAUCCAUAUGGAAGAUGGAAAGGCCCUUGAGGACUUCUAGUAAAAGUUGUCUUCUCAUAAGAAACUGGCUAGCUAGGAAUGUGUCUUAUCGGUGCUUUCCUUCUGAAGACCCUGGUUUGUCAAAAAAGAUGACCUUCCAUGUCCCAAGUUAUCAUGAAUUUGAGCUACCUUAGGACCAGGGCCUCUCCCUCCUCCAUGAGCCUACAGGACACAGGUAAAAGCAGCAUAGUCGGAGAAAAGCAUGAGGAUGUGGUGGCCAAACAGAUUCAUCUUUGAAUCCCAGCUUCAUCUGAUAAGGUUGCUGAGAAGAGUAAAUUUAGUAAUAUAUGCAAAGAUUCUGGCACAGUGUUGGUGUUCAACAAAUGUUAUUUCUU